RNAcentral lists this non-coding RNA (101 nucleotides) under Allobosea sp. Leaf344. RNAcentral describes it as "Bosea sp. Leaf344 Glycine riboswitch aptamer". It matches the Rfam family "Glycine riboswitch aptamer". From Rfam's summary of the family: This family represents the bacterial glycine riboswitch. Glycine riboswitches usually consist of two metabolite-binding aptamers domains with similar structures in tandem. The aptamers cooperatively bind glycine to regulate the expression of downstream genes. Lineage: Bacteria; Pseudomonadati; Pseudomonadota; Alphaproteobacteria; Hyphomicrobiales; Alloboseaceae. The record is from Rfam by way of RNAcentral. RNAcentral also lists the same sequence under 1 other name.
AACAUCCCCGCGGGAGAGACCGGGACCGGAUUCGUCCGGAGCCCGGCGCCGAAGGCGCAACCGCCCCGGAAACGCUCAGGCAAACGGACCGCGUGGGAACU